Molecule: long non-coding RNA, 1820 nt
Organism: Trifolium pratense (red clover)
Lineage: Eukaryota; Viridiplantae; Streptophyta; Magnoliopsida; Fabales; Fabaceae
Exons: 3
Source: RefSeq, a predicted model, not a curated record
GUUGAGAAGGAAUUAUCAGGUUCAGCAAGGUUCAACGGUGAUUCCGAAACUGAAAUCUCAUGGAACUGUUAGUGUUGAAAGCAUGCUGGUGGGUAAAGGAAAGCUUGAUGGUUCAGCUGUUGGUGUGACUUCAUGCACGAAUCAGAGUAACUUUCUAUCCCAAAUUUGAAAAUGAAAAGUCAGAUCAAGAGAGUGGACGAUUGGGAUGGUCGAAGCCCAAUACCACCUUCAUCUCGACUAUAUAAGCCUCGCAUCAUCACCUAUGAAGGUAUGUCUCAUUCUAACCCCUCUAUAGCUCAUAAGUUUGAAGGCCAUAGAUUAACUUAAAAGCAAAGACAAAAAAUAUUACUCGAAGGGAGAAUAAAUUAACUUUUAAUUUAGUUAAAAGCCUUGAAUGAUUAAUUAACCCGGUAUUGGGCUGAGGCCUCUGGUCCAACAAAAUAUGAAAGCCCGUGAGAUAGCCUUUAUAUUAAAGCACAUGCAUUCUUCACCGUCUAUGUUAUGCCGCUUCUAUCUUACAUUGUGUUUGGUUUGGUUCUCCGAUUCGUCUUUCUACUUCUUCAUCUAAAGAAUGAAUGCAGCUUCUAUCUUACACUAUGUUUGGUUUGAUGAAAAUCUCUAUGUACGUUCAAAAUUGAAAUUAUUUUUUAUAACAAAAUAAGUUAAUGAUUAACCAAACAUAGAGUCAAAGUAUAUUUUCAUUUAGAAAGAGGCAUCUAGGGUGCAGAGCAAUAUAGUAUAAUAAAGGCUUAACUACACAUUUGGUCCCUUACAUUUAUUUUAAGUUUCAAUUUGGUCUCUUACGUUUAAAAAGAAUUUGGUCCAUUACGUUUUCAUUAUGUUUCAAUUUAGUCAUUUCCGUUAGUUUUGUCACUAACACCGUUUGAACUAUACAUGUGUCACUGUGUCAAAGUGUCCACGUGUCAGUCCACAUAUGCGAAUUGACUGCCACAUGUGACACAAUUGACGGAAAGGACUAAAUUGAAACCUAAUGGAAACGUAAGGGACCAAAUUGAUACUUUUUAAACGUAAGGGACCAAAUUGAAACUUAAAAUAAACGUAAGGGACCAAAUGUGUAGUUAAGCCUAUAAUAAACCAAACAUGCUAGUUUGGUUUUGCUUUCAAUAUCUUAUGUUGCCUAAAUAUUCCAAGCUGGAGGUGCCUUUAGAAGAAUUUCAACACAGUCCAAUAAGCCCAAAUCUUAUCUGAAUAGUGAAUUCAACAGCCUUUGAAGCCACUCAAAAAGGCCCAAAUUGGAGGUGGGGGUGUGACAUUAUAAGAAGGGCUUUCUAUCAAUUGUGCAUCAUAAACUAGGUCUAUAAGAGCCACAAAUAUAGAAUUUUUGACCUAAUAUCCCUACAUUUUCAUAAUAAUUCAAUUUUGCCCCAACACAUUUGAAACUCCACCUUUUUUAAAACAUUUCGAACUUCUCUCUCUCACUCCAAUGUACGACUCCUCCAGUCUUUCCAGUACAUAAAAGUUUUGCUUAAAACUUUUGAUCAAAAUUUAAUUUUUUGUAUAGAACAUUUCAUAAAUUGAAAAUGUUGGUACAAUGUUCCGUCAUUUUUAAUUUAUGAAAUGAGGUUUUGAUCAAAUUGUGUUUCAUCAAAUUGACACUUUCAGAAUUAUUUUCAAUUAUAAUCUUUUGUUUAUCUCAUAAUUUUUAGGAUUAAAUUCACUUUUGAUCCCCCUACUUUCAUAAAUAUGAAGUUUUGAUUCCCCUAUUUUUAAAUUCAACUUUUUGAGUUUUGGUCCCUCACCCCUUUUUUUAGACCAAUUUUGUUGAUGUGGCAUUGUUAGUGAUGACAUGGCAGCACCCA